RNAcentral lists this long non-coding RNA (1078 nucleotides) under Anas zonorhyncha (Eastern spot-billed duck). Its description in RNAcentral is "lncRNA (ENSAZOG00000016639.1)". Lineage: Eukaryota; Metazoa; Chordata; Aves; Anseriformes; Anatidae. The record is from RNAcentral.
CCCCAAUCAGACCCUGCUCGUGCCCCCCCACAGGGAGAAAGAGCAGAGGUAAGAGCGACCCCCCCGCUGUGACCCCAUGGCUCCCAAAGCCCCAUUUUAUCACGGUUUGGGGCUAUUUCACGCGAUUUGGGGCCAUUUCAUGCGAUUUGGGGCCGGGGAGGGCAGCCGCAGAGCCCCCCCCGAAGUAGAGGAGCUGUGGGGUGCCCGGGAUGAGCCCACCCAAGGUUGAACAUCCCCGGCUGCACCUCGGGUGGGGGGAGAGACGCCAGGAGGGCACCCCAUUAUUUUGGGACGAGCCGAAAAAUUCCUUCGGAGCUCGGAUUUGUAAGGAGCGCUCCUUCGAGCUCUUUUUUUUGGUGUCAAAUCUUGCGGGAUUUGCUUCUUUUUUACGGAGGAGACGCUCGUGGAGCCCUGACUGCACCCCAGGAACAAUGCUUAGCAAUAGGCGCACACACGCGACGGUUUGCAGGGAGGAAUUGCCACCAGCGAGUUAAAAUCGGGGCUUGAUUUUAGCUGCCGUGUGUCCGGAGGCUGCUGCUGAAGGAGGUUUGGGUUGUGCAGCUGAUGAGACGUGCUGGAGGCCCCUGAGGAUGGAGGAGCGGUGAAUGAGCCUCGUGUGCUGUGGCUUGCGAAGCCAAACGCCGCCUGGGCUGCUGGCUGUGUGGCCCGGUGAGCUCCGAGGAGCAGCCAGGGGGUUCCUUGAGGCUCCUCAGAGCUUUCGUUUGCUUGUUUGUGUCUCCUCUGCUCCACCUCAGACCUUCCAGUUUGUUUUCCUCAGUGCUGACUGCGCUUACUGGUUCCUAGUUUCCUUCAAAUCAUUGGUUCGCAGCACCUAAGAGUGAGCUGCAAGGAGUACUUUGCCCAGCGCUGAAAGUAGUGUAAGGACUACAAAUUUUAAGACCUUAUUUUAACUUUUUUUCUCCCUCUUGUUAGCUAUCGCUCUCCUGAAAUUUCUUAGGACUUGUGCUAGGACUCACAAAGCGAAACUUAGCUCAGUCCUCGGCCAGUAGAAGAUGUUAGCUGCUAGAUUUACACUAGGAAGUGGAAAUGCUUCAAAAUCCAGCUGCUCUCUUACAAG